AGUCGAACGGCAGCACGGGAGCAAUCCUGGUGGCGAGUGGCGAACGGGUGAGUAACAUAUCGGAACGUGCCCGGUAGUGGGGGAUAACCCGGCGAAAGUCGGACUAAUACCGCAUACGACCUACGGGUGAAAGCGGGGGAUCGCAAGACCUCGCGCUAUUGGAGCGGCCGAUAUCAGAUUAGCUAGUUGGUGGGGUAAAGGCCUACCAAGGCGACGAUCUGUAGCUGGUCUGAGAGGACGACCAGCCAUACUGGGACUGAGACACGGCCCAGACUCCUACGGGAGGCAGCAGUGGGGAAUUUUGGACAAUGGGCGCAAGCCUGAUCCAGCCAUGCCGCGUGCGGGAAGAAGGCCUUCGGGUUGUAAACCGCUUUUGUCAGGGAAGAAAAGGUUCGAGCUAAUACCUCGGACUAAUGACGGUACCUGAAGAAUAAGCACCGGCUAACUACGUGCCAGCAGCCGCGGUAAUACGUAGGGUGCAAGCGUUAAUCGGAAUUACUGGGCGUAAAGCGUGCGCAGGCGGUGAUGCAAGACAGAUGUGAAAUCCCCGGGCUCAACCUGGGAACUGCAUUUGUGACUGCAUGACUUGAGUACGGUAGAGGGGGAUGGAAUUCCGCGUGUAGCAGUGAAAUGCGUAGAUAUGCGGAGGAACACCGAUGGCGAAGGCAAUCCCCUGG
This 677-nucleotide ribosomal RNA is filed under the name uncultured Rhizobacter sp. RNAcentral's name for it is "bacterial SSU rRNA". It matches the Rfam family "Bacterial small subunit ribosomal RNA", at positions 60 to 732 of the family's 1533-position model. The record is from RNAcentral. Lineage: Bacteria; Pseudomonadati; Pseudomonadota; Betaproteobacteria; Burkholderiales; Sphaerotilaceae.